RNAcentral lists this ribosomal RNA (253 nucleotides) under uncultured bacterium. RNAcentral describes it as "partial 16S ribosomal RNA". It matches the Rfam family "Bacterial small subunit ribosomal RNA", at positions 524 to 776 of the family's 1533-position model. The record is from RNAcentral.
GACGGAGGGUGCUAGCGUUGUUCGGAAUUACUGGGCGUAAAGGGCGCGUAGGCGGCUCUGUCAGUCGGGUGUGAAAGCCCGGGGCUCAACCCCGGAACGGCACCCGAGACGGCGGGGCUGGAGACCGGGAGAGGAGGGUGGAAUAGCCAGUGUAGAGGUGAAAUUCGUAGAUAUUGGCUGGAACACCGGUGGCGAAGGCGGAUCUCUGGGCCUUACCUGACGCUGAGGAGCGAAAGCAUGGGGAGCAAACAGG